CGUCGCCGGGGCUUGAGAGCGUUCGCAGGGAAUUUGCUGGCCUCCGGAUGGCGGGUAUCCUCCUGUCGGCGUCCCGAGAUACAACCUGUGUAAAAACUUUUAAGGAAUGAGAGAAAUCAUGCAUUUCUUUGGAAUGCUACAUCCUGUCACUCCCUCUUUCACUGGUCAUCUGACAGUUGGAUCAAAGAAUGGCACUCGGCUGUUAAGUUGCAUUGUAUCUGCCUGAUGUGACAAAGCAGUAAAGCUGUGGAACAACCUGGGGGUGUGUAAAUGAACCAGAAUUUUGACAAUGGAUGUCUUGUUUAGCUCUGGGUGAAUCUUGUUCGUACAAUCGGCUCCUUGUGGUUAGGACAUCUUACAAAGGUUUAGGAGUUUGCAAAUUGAAGAUCAAACAUGUUGGUUAACACUCCAAGUGGAAAGGCAUAUGGAUAACAAGUUAUAUGGCUACAUGAUGUUAUCAUGAACACUACAUGGAGAGUUACUGCAGUGCUAACCAUGUUUGGUCAGGUUACAAUCAUGUCUUCUCUCAUCGUAAGACUGGCUGAUCUGAUGAUCCUCCGGAUUGUAGAUUGGAACUAGAAGAAAAUCUUUACUUGCGGCAAAGAAUGAGAUCAAUUGAGUGAAGUGUUGUAGUAUGCUAUUUUCAGAAACCAAUAGAAAAAUAAACUUAAGCAAAAACA
Hemiscyllium ocellatum (epaulette shark) is the source of this 680-nucleotide long non-coding RNA. RefSeq lists it as uncharacterized. The record is from RefSeq and is a predicted model, not a curated record. The transcript is spliced from 7 exons. NCBI's taxonomy places the organism in Eukaryota, Metazoa, Chordata, Chondrichthyes, Orectolobiformes, Hemiscylliidae.